CCUACGGGUGGCUGCAGUGGGGAAUAUUGCGCAAUGGGCGAAAGCCUGACGCAGCGACGCCGCGUGAGGGAUGAAGGUCUUCGGAUCGUAAACCUCUGUCAGCAGGGCAGAACGGUCACUGUGCUAAUCAUCAGUGAAUUGACGGUACCUGCAAAGGACGCACCGGCUAACUCCGGGCCAGCAGCCGCGGUAAUACGGAGGGUGCGAGCGUUAAUCUGAAGUACUGGGCGUAAAGCUCUCGUAGGCGGUAUGUCAAGUCAAGGGUGAAAUCCCCGCGCAUAACGUGGGAACUGCCUUUGAAACUGGCAAACUGGAGUGUGCGAGAGGAUAGUGGAAU
This 337-nucleotide ribosomal RNA is filed under the name uncultured bacterium. Its description in RNAcentral is "partial 16S ribosomal RNA". It matches the Rfam family "Bacterial small subunit ribosomal RNA", at positions 338 to 667 of the family's 1533-position model. The record is from RNAcentral.